GGGGUUGUAGCUCAGUGGUAGAGCACUUGCCUAGCAUGUGUGAGGCACUGGGUUCAAAUUUCAGCACCUCA
RNAcentral lists this transfer RNA (71 nucleotides) under Ictidomys tridecemlineatus (thirteen-lined ground squirrel). RNAcentral describes it as "Spermophilus tridecemlineatus (thirteen-lined ground squirrel) tRNA". It matches the Rfam family "tRNA". From Rfam's summary of the family: Transfer RNA (tRNA) molecules are approximately 80 nucleotides in length. Their secondary structure includes four short double-helical elements and three loops (D, anti-codon, and T loops). Further hydrogen bonds mediate the characteristic L-shaped molecular structure. tRNAs have two regions of fundamental functional importance: the anti-codon, which is responsible for specific mRNA codon recognition, and the 3' end, to which the tRNAs corresponding amino acid is attached (by aminoacyl-tRNA synthetases). tRNAs cope with the degeneracy of the genetic code in two manners: having more than one tRNA (with a specific anti-codon) for a particular amino acid; and 'wobble' base-pairing, i.e. permitting non-standard base-pairing at the 3rd anti-codon position. The record is from Rfam by way of RNAcentral. Lineage: Eukaryota; Metazoa; Chordata; Mammalia; Rodentia; Sciuridae.